Long non-coding RNA from Diospyros lotus (date-plum), 2436 nucleotides. RefSeq lists it as uncharacterized. Lineage: Eukaryota; Viridiplantae; Streptophyta; Magnoliopsida; Ericales; Ebenaceae. The record is from RefSeq and is a predicted model, not a curated record. The transcript has 3 exons.
UGUCUCUAGAUUUUGCCCGUGAUAGCAGAUCCGUCGUUUGUCAUCACGCACACGUUGCCAUUGAAGCCGUCGCCAUCAACGAAUAUGGGAGUUGGUUUGCAGCAGUCGUUGUUCGCCUCCGACGUGAUGGAGUUGGUUUGUGAUUGUGAAGCAUGAAAACGGGGAAAAACAGCUUGAAACCUUUUUCGGGUCGUUUGUGUAAUUUUCGAAAAAUUGCAGGCCGUUUCGAAAUUUAGAAAACUUGGCCAGAAACGCUUCCGGCGAUUGCUACCCAGUAGAGGCACAAAUCCCUAAAAAAAGCUCUGCCUCUUUUUUUCCCUCUUUUCUUCUUCUUCUUCUUCUAGCUAUUGCUUCCAGUUCGAUCGCCUUCGCCACCGUUUGCUUCCAGUCUUUCUUGGCCUUCUCGCUUCGGCGCUCCCUCGGUUCCAGUCAUUCCUUCUCGGCCCUCCGCCAUUUGCUCCGGUGCUCCCUUAGCUCGAGAUCUUUUUUUCUCGCCACCGAUCGUUCCUUCUUUAUUUGGAAGACCUAGAAUUUGCACUGGUGACUUGUUUCUUUUCUUUUUCUCCGUCUGAUUUUCUACUUCAGUUGGUGUAUAUAUGCCUAUGACUAUUGCCUAAGAGUUUGCGAUGGAGGCUGCGAUGGAGUUGGUUUGCGACCGGCACAUGGGCUACUACUAUUGUUUAGCAUGGAGAUGCUAAUGAGAUGGGGUGGUGUGUCACACGCUACAUUGCAUGUACAAAUAGUAGACAUGUGGGUAGGUAUUGAAAAAACAUCCACUGAAUGUGACACCUGCGACAUAUCACAUGGCUUGAGGAUUAAUGAUAUGUUGUUGGCUCUCGAUUGUGUAUCUGGUCCUUUGACUAGAGGCGACAUAGUGUCUUGUGCAUUGGUGUCAGGGAUUUGCUGUUGAGCGGAACUAUCCGAUGUAAGAGGUGAGAAUGUUUUAUGUGCGGUCUCUGUGUAAUGGUGUAUAGAGGCAAAUGUUUGUCGAUGAGAUCCAUUGACCUCCAUUUGUUGGGGCGAACAUCCUAUGUAAUCCAUGUAGGUGAUUGUGAUUGAAAAUCCAUUGACCUCCAUUAGGAUUGUCCUGAGUCUUGUCUGGAGGAUAUUCAAGAUCUUUCAGGGUGCUAUGAGGAUUUGGAGAGAUCCUUUUAGUUAGGUCGAUGGGGAUUGACCGACGUUAAGGAGUUGAUGUAUCUUGAUUGUUACAUGGUUGUGAAUCUAGAAAGUCACACGCAUACCGAGUAAUGUAGCCGAUUAGUGAUUCAUUGUUAUUGGUGGUUUCCUCGUUGCUGUUAGUCAGUGAUGUUGGUUGCUUGUGUGUGUGAAACUCGUGGAUCUAUGGUUAUGGGAAGCUGCCAUUGGAUAGCAGGGCCUUAGUGGCAUUUGGACAAAGUUGGAGCUUGACAGAUAGAAUCGGUCGACAGGUACAUAGAGCGGUCGACCAGUGCUCUCAUGCUAUUGAUUGGUCUUGUGCUGUUGACAGGUACAUGGAGUGGUAACAGUCGACCGGUGCUUGCAUGCUGCUGACCGAUGCAUAAGGAGAGUUGACUACCUUAAAAUGGUCAACCGGGUUCCUCAUUCUGUCGAUCAUUUUUUGCCACUUAUUUUAUCUCAUCCGAGCAUUUAUUGCUCUGAUGCAAGUGAUGGGCAAGGCAUGAGAAGCAGGUGGAGGCGUGGACUACAAGAAGAGAGAAGAGAAGGGUUGGUAGAGGGGUUGUUGAGAAGAAGAGAAGAGAAGAGAAGAGAUUGAUUGAGAGGGUGAGGAGGUUCACGAGCUGCUCCCUUCUGCGUCUUCUUCUUCCUUGUUUUUCUUUUUCCAUUGCCAUUUUUUCUCUGGCUCCUGCUUGCUGUUCGCUUAUUCUUCCUUGCUUGAGUUGUGGCCUUGCUCGUUCUUGCUCCAGGCUUGGCUGACACAACUUCUUCAUCACUCUUUCCCUCAUAGAGAGAUCGUUGGACAGCCACCAAGCAACUGAGGAAGGGACUGCACACAGCUUUGGGUCACCUCCAUCGAGAGGGUCCUAGCACGGAUCUGUUGGAGGGUUCCGUGGUAGUUCGGGCAUGGACCAACCAAGUCCUCUAUGCUUGUGGAGGCGGGCUGGUCACUUGAGUGCUUGCAAGGACGAGGAACAAACGAGGAGAUUGUUGGAAGAUUGUUGGUCAGCGAGGAAGCAGUCACCGUGUGGGCAACCGGCAUCAGAUCUUUCUUUGAAAGCUCGUGCUUUCGGAGACUGGCACGUGGAAGGAUUAAAGGGUCUUGCUGGUGGGCCACUUUGCGCCUGAACUUAUGAGCAUGAGACUUACAGAGGAGGAUGAAUUCCUCAUCAUUGGCUGUGACGGAAUCUGGGACUUGUUUAUGAGCCAAAAUGCAGUGGAUUUUGCACGACGAAGACGUCAGGAGCACGAUGAUCCCGUUGUGUGUAGCAAGGAUCUAGU